GGACCUUUAGCUCAUUUGGUCAGACUAGAUUGCUCAUAAACGUCCUUAUAGGUUCAAAUCCUAUAAGGACCA
Molecule: transfer RNA, 72 nt
Filed under: Bacillus cereus
Lineage: Bacteria; Bacillati; Bacillota; Bacilli; Caryophanales; Bacillaceae
Description: tRNA-Met
Rfam family: tRNA
About the family: Transfer RNA (tRNA) molecules are approximately 80 nucleotides in length. Their secondary structure includes four short double-helical elements and three loops (D, anti-codon, and T loops). Further hydrogen bonds mediate the characteristic L-shaped molecular structure. tRNAs have two regions of fundamental functional importance: the anti-codon, which is responsible for specific mRNA codon recognition, and the 3' end, to which the tRNAs corresponding amino acid is attached (by aminoacyl-tRNA synthetases). tRNAs cope with the degeneracy of the genetic code in two manners: having more than one tRNA (with a specific anti-codon) for a particular amino acid; and 'wobble' base-pairing, i.e. permitting non-standard base-pairing at the 3rd anti-codon position.
Source: RNAcentral